GAUGAACGCUGGCGGCGUGCCUAAUACAUGCAAGUCGAGCGACCACAUGAGUAGCUUGCUCCUCUGACGUUAGCGGCUGACGGAUGAGUAACACGUGCAUCACCUACCUCUAAGACUGGGAUAACUUCGGGAAACCGCUGCCACUACCUGAUCAUAUAUUGUACCGCAUGGUUCAAUAGUUCAUGACCGUUUUCCUGUUCCUUUUAGCUGGUUCCGCGCCGCAUUAGCUAGUUGGUAAGGUAACGCCUUACCAAGGCAACGAUGCGUAGCAGACCUGAGAGGAUGAGCAGCCACACUGGAACUGAGACACGGUCCAGACUCCUACGGGAGGCAGCAGUAGGGAAUAUUGAGCAAUGGGCGCAAGCCUGACGGAGCAACACCGCGUGAGUGAUGAAGGUCUUCGGAUUGUAAAACUCUGUUAUUAGGAAAGAAAAAAAGCGUAAGAAAAUAUGCACGUCUUGACGGUACCUAAUGAGAAAGCCACGGCUAACUGCGUG
Molecule: ribosomal RNA, 497 nt
Filed under: uncultured bacterium
Lineage: Bacteria
Description: partial 16S ribosomal RNA
Rfam family: Bacterial small subunit ribosomal RNA
Source: RNAcentral